This is a long non-coding RNA of Odocoileus virginianus texanus, 516 nucleotides long. RefSeq lists it as uncharacterized. The record is from RefSeq and is a predicted model, not a curated record. Lineage: Eukaryota; Metazoa; Chordata; Mammalia; Artiodactyla; Cervidae.
CUUCGGGAGGAAGCCCCACCUCUCCACAGCAGGCAAACUGAUAGGCGCCAUGUUGCAGCCCGAGGGAGAACCCGUCCUGGCGGAAGGCAUGCGUGUGCAAAGGAGAGUGAGGGAAGAAGCUGGUUUCGAGCCUCAACAUCUUCCUCUGUGAGGGCGAAUGCCAUGAGGAACAUCCAUGAAUAUUGCAGUAGGGUCAUUUGGUCAUCCAGAUGUAAGUUCCUGAAUCCUGAAUUAAGAGGAAUAAAAGGUAUGAGGAAACACUCUCGUUGCCAAAGAGAAGAUCCUCUCUCUGGGAACUGCCAAAGACAGUUUUGGAAGACUAAUAGAAGAAAUGAAGUGUUAAGUGGACACAGUUUUCCUUUGCCAUUUGACAGGUUCAUUCCAGCUUGAAGACAUUUUCUAUAGCGGCAUGCUGGGCAGUUUUUUCUUCGAAUUUUAUCAAUGAUACAAUCAUUUCUUCCAGCACAAAGAUAAUUGUGCUGUCCUGUAUGGAAAAUAAAGGCACUGUUAAAAUUU